CAGGGAAUCUCUGUUACUGGGG
This 22-nucleotide microRNA is filed under the name Lepisosteus oculatus (spotted gar). RNAcentral describes it as "Loc-Mir-459_3p* (star (passenger))". The record is from RNAcentral. Lineage: Eukaryota; Metazoa; Chordata; Actinopteri; Semionotiformes; Lepisosteidae. RNAcentral also lists the same sequence under 2 other names.